AUUCCAGCUCCAAUAGCGUAUAUUAAAGUUGUUGCAGUUAAAAAGCUCGUAGUUGGAUUUCUGUCUCUUUUGGGAUGCGGUCCGCCCUUCAUGGGUGAGCACUGUUAUCCUGGGGACAUCCUCUCAAAGGCGUUAUGGUGCACUUAGUUGUGUGCUUAAUGAAUUUGGGACCUUUACUUUGAAAAAAUUAGAGUGUUCAAAGCAGGCUUAUUGCUUGAAUAUAUUAGCAGGGAAUAAUGGAAUAGGACUUUGGUUCUAUUUUGUUGGUUUCUAGGACUGAAGUAAUGAUUAAUAGGGACAGUUGGGGGCAUUAGUAUUUAAUUGUCAGAGGUGAAACUCUUGGAUUUAUGAAAGACUAACUACUGCGAAAGCAUUUGCCAAGGAUGUUUUCAUCG
This 395-nucleotide ribosomal RNA is filed under the name Choanoflagellata sp. RNAcentral describes it as "partial small subunit ribosomal RNA". It matches the Rfam family "Eukaryotic small subunit ribosomal RNA", at positions 582 to 975 of the family's 1831-position model. The record is from RNAcentral. Lineage: Eukaryota; Choanoflagellata.